GGUCCAAACUCGAAGUAGAGUAGUUUAGUAGGGUCAACUGAUACUACUAAUCUACUCUACUUCGAAUUUGGACCC
Non-coding RNA from Haemonchus placei, 75 nucleotides. Lineage: Eukaryota; Metazoa; Nematoda; Chromadorea; Rhabditida; Trichostrongylidae. The record is from Rfam.